GAUGAACGCUGGCGGCGUGCUUAACACAUGCAAGUCGAACGGUGAAAGAGAGCUUGCUCUCUGGCUCAGUGGCGAACGGGUGAGUAACACGUGAGCAAUCUGCCCCUGACUCUGGGAUAAGCGCUGGAAACGGCGUCUAAUACCGGAUACGAGCUCCGAAGCCAUCUUCAGCAGCUGGAAAGAACUUCAGUCAGGGAUGAGCUCGCGGCCUAUCAGCUUGUUGGUGAGGUAACGGCCAACCAAGGAGCCGACGAGUAGCCGGCGUGAGAGGGUGACCGGCAACAGUGAGAGUCGGACACGGCAGAGACACCUGCGGAAGGCGGCACAAGGGGAUAAUGCACGAUGAACGAAAGCCUGAUGCAGCAGCGACGCGUGAGGGAUGAAGGCCUUCGGGUUGACAACAGCUUAUCGCAGGAAAGAGGCGAGGGUGACGGUACCUGGAUAAGAAGCACCGGCUAACUACGUG
RNAcentral lists this ribosomal RNA (466 nucleotides) under uncultured bacterium. Its description in RNAcentral is "partial 16S ribosomal RNA". It matches the Rfam family "Bacterial small subunit ribosomal RNA", at positions 28 to 507 of the family's 1533-position model. The record is from RNAcentral.